This 208-nucleotide ribosomal RNA is filed under the name uncultured bacterium. RNAcentral's name for it is "partial 16S ribosomal RNA". It matches the Rfam family "Bacterial small subunit ribosomal RNA", at positions 524 to 728 of the family's 1533-position model. The record is from RNAcentral.
UACGGAAGGGGCUAGCGUUGCUCGGAAUCACUGGGCGUAAAGCGCACGUAGGCGGUACUCUUAAGUCAGGGGUGAAAUCCUGGAGCUCAACUCCAGAACUGCCUUUGAAUACUGGGAGUCUUGAGUUCGGGAGAGGUGAGUGGAACUGCGAGUGUAGAGGUGAAAUUCGUAGAUAUUCGCAAGAACACCAGUGGCGAAGGCGGCCUCA